GAAAUCCUGCUGCUGUUAGAUUCCUCCCUCCAGCUUUCAUGUAGUCCUGCCUCCAAGGAAGAGUCAAAUAGUGGAGCAGCUGGUGAGCAUACCCUGCAUAACUCCUUCUGUCACUGCUUCCCUUCUGCACAGCUUUACAUGUGAGAGAUACAACUCCUUAGAGUAGUUUGGGCUGUAAUCCAAUAUAUUACAGUGCUAGUGACAUAGGUAGACAAAUCCAGGCAUCUAAAAAGAUGUUUACCUUGUGUGUAAAAUCAUAAUUAAAAGGUAUGUUGAACUAACAAAUGAAGCACUUGACUUAACUGACUUACCUGACAAAAU
Molecule: long non-coding RNA, 321 nt
Organism: Oxyura jamaicensis (ruddy duck)
Lineage: Eukaryota; Metazoa; Chordata; Aves; Anseriformes; Anatidae
Exons: 3
Source: RefSeq, a predicted model, not a curated record